RNAcentral lists this ribosomal RNA (253 nucleotides) under uncultured bacterium. RNAcentral's name for it is "partial 16S ribosomal RNA". It matches the Rfam family "Bacterial small subunit ribosomal RNA", at positions 524 to 776 of the family's 1533-position model. The record is from RNAcentral. RNAcentral also lists the same sequence under 2 other names.
UACGUAGGGGGCAAGCGUUGUCCGGAUUUAUUGGGCGUAAAGAGCGUGUAGGCGGCUUUGCAAGUCCGUUGUGAAAACUCGAGGCUCAACCUCGAGACGCCGGUGGAAACUGCAAAGCUAGAGUCCGGAAGAGGAGAGUGGAAUUCCUGGUGUAGCGGUGAAAUGCGCAGAUAUCAGGAAGAACACCCGUGGCGAAGGCGGCUCUCUGGGACGGUACUGACGCUGAGACGCGAAAGCGUGGGGAGCGAACAGG